AUACAUUUAAUGAUGAAGUCUUUAAUUAGGACUAGAGUUUCUGAUCUCUGGGUUUUUACACCCAGAAGUUGAAGAAACCCUUGGCUGUCUGAGCACCUAU
This 100-nucleotide small nucleolar RNA is filed under the name Thalictrum thalictroides. RNAcentral describes it as "Small nucleolar RNA Z157/R69/R10". It matches the Rfam family "Small nucleolar RNA Z157/R69/R10". Rfam says of the family: Z157, R69 and R10 are members of the C/D class of snoRNA which contain the C (UGAUGA) and D (CUGA) box motifs. Most of the members of the box C/D family function in directing site-specific 2'-O-methylation of substrate RNAs. Lineage: Eukaryota; Viridiplantae; Streptophyta; Magnoliopsida; Ranunculales; Ranunculaceae. The record is from Rfam by way of RNAcentral.